RNAcentral lists this long non-coding RNA (345 nucleotides) under Salmo salar (Atlantic salmon). Its description in RNAcentral is "lncRNA (ENSSSAG00000095790.1)". Lineage: Eukaryota; Metazoa; Chordata; Actinopteri; Salmoniformes; Salmonidae. The record is from RNAcentral.
CUUUAAAUUAAGACCAAAAAUAUCAAUUUUGUUUUCAUUAAUUUGUACAAUAUAGCCAAUUCUGACUUUGUAGCUGUGGUAGCUAGUGGAAAGCCCAAGUGGUCCCCAGUCGCUAUUCAUUGACGUCGCGGUAUUAUGUACUGUAUUUUCCUGCUUUCUUUUUUUCUUGUAGCUAGCCUGCUAGCUAGUUGACAACAAUGGGCGAUAGUGAGCAGGUAGAGUGGACGUUUAUGAAAUUAUACCUUAACGAUAUUGGAAACACUCUUUCAGAUAAAUCUGGAACACGGAUGUCGAAAAGAAAUUCGAAAAUGCUAUUUAGCAUCAAAGACUACAAAUCCCUGCAAG